This 498-nucleotide ribosomal RNA is filed under the name uncultured bacterium. RNAcentral describes it as "partial 16S ribosomal RNA". It matches the Rfam family "Bacterial small subunit ribosomal RNA", at positions 28 to 507 of the family's 1533-position model. The record is from RNAcentral.
GAUGAACGCUGGCGGCGUGCCUAAUACAUGCAAGUCGAGCGAACGGACGAGAAGCUUGCUUCUCUGAUGUUAGCGGCGGACGGGUGAGUAACACGUGGAUAACCUACCUAUAAGACUGGGAUAACUUCGGGAAAACGGCAGCUAUCACCGAAUAAUUUUUGCAACGGCUGGUUUAAAAGGUAAAAGAGGGUUUUGUGGCUCUUUUCGGAGGGUCCCGCGCUGUUUUAGCUGGUGGGUAAGGUAAGGGCUUACCAGGGCAACGAGCCUUAGCCGACCUGAGAGGGUGAUCGGCCACACUGGAACUGGGACACGGACCAGGCUCCUACGGGAGGCAGCAGUAGGGAAUCUGCCGCAGUGGGCGGAAGCCUGACGGAGCGACGCCGCGUGAGUGGUGGAGGUCUUCGGAUCGUAAUACUCUGUUAUUAGGGAAGAACAUAUGUGUAAGGAGCUGUGGACAUCUUGACGGUACCGAAUCAGAAAGCCACGGCUAACUACGUG